CCUACGGGCGGCAGCAGUGGGGACUAUUGCACAAUGGGGGGAACCCUGAUGCAGCGACGCCGCGUGGGUGAAGGAGUAUUUCGGUAUGUAAAGCCCUAUCAGCAGGGAAGAACAAUGACGGUACCUGACUAAGAAGCACCGGCUAAAUACGUGCCAGCAGCCGCGGUAAUAGAUAUGGUGCAAGCGUUAUCCGGAUUAACUGGGUGUAAAGGGAGCGCAGGCGGCGCGUUAAGCCUGGUGUGAAAGUCCGCGGCCCAACCGCGGGACUGCAUUGGGAACUGGCGCGCUGGAGUGCCGGAGGGGUAGGCGGAAUUCCUAGUGUAGCGGUGAAAUGCGAAGAUAUUAGGAGGAACACCAGUGGCGAGGGCGGCCUACUGGACGGUGACUGACGCUGAGGCUCGAAAGCGUGGGGAGCAAACAGGAUUAGAUACCCCAGUAGUC
Molecule: ribosomal RNA, 441 nt
Filed under: uncultured bacterium
Lineage: Bacteria
Description: partial 16S ribosomal RNA
Rfam family: Bacterial small subunit ribosomal RNA
Source: RNAcentral